Molecule: non-coding RNA, 1408 nt
Organism: Pocillopora verrucosa
Lineage: Eukaryota; Metazoa; Cnidaria; Anthozoa; Scleractinia; Pocilloporidae
Source: RefSeq, a predicted model, not a curated record
UGAAAAUAAAAGGGAAGGAUCAAAACACUUCAACUUUGGUUCACUAGCAUGGCUAGGGCUAGUGAACUCACAGCUAGGGAAAAUGCACCCUCAUCUACUUCAAAAACCCAGUGGAAACAUUCCCAAAUGAGGAGUAUGGUUACAGAAAUUUUUGAUCCACAAAGCUGACAAUUACGGCUAACAUCCAAUGUCCGCGAUUCUUCUCUUGUACUUUCAGAAUUACAGAUGGAAGCAGCCAGAUGAGGUGUAUAUGCAUGUAUGCAUAAUCAUUCGUUUGAUAAGCGAUCAUAUCGAAGGCUUAGUAGAGCAACUACAUAAUACAGAGCCACUUUCAAAGGAGCAUAUAUCAAGGCUCGUUUGGCUCGGCAAUGGAUGAAAAAACGAGAAAUAAUAAAUGUGCGUAGCAAACGAGCUCGACGAGCCGGUUCGUUUAGUGGAUGGUUAAGAGCCCUGUGUUCUGUAGUUUACUCUUAAGACAUUUUGCACAGGCAACAACACAAGACAUUCGUGCAACGAAAGAUUAAGAUGGACAGACCGAUGAGAACAAACAACAAUGGCGGAAAAGCCACACGUGUGCCUUGAUUGGUGGCUGUGUUACUUGCAGCUGAGUUCAAAAUUUGCAAGGAGGAAAUUAAAAAUAAACUGAAAGUGUAUGAGCUGUGGAGAAUUGGGCAGCAAUGACAUUUCUGUCUACACCUUUUAUAGUAUUUUCAUUUUAUCAAACAAAACAUCCAGCUUAAAAAUGAAACACUGAUAAACAAAUUUCCAGAAUUUGGUUCUGUUUUUCCCUUUUUUUUUUUUUUAAAAACCUAGCUUUUUUGUAUACCAUUUCAACAAACUCCCCAUUACUGGUAAUUCCAUUAACCCUUUAACUCCCAAGAUCUCAUUAGUAGUUCUCCUUACUGUCUGAAAUAUAGUCUUGUGAUGUUAGUUUAGAGAAUUUGGUAUUGGAUCAACUAAUGAUCCCCUAAUUAAGAUUUUUCUUUAUUCUCAUCAAUUGUCUGUUUGAUAUUAUAUUGAUACUGUAAGGAGAAAUUCUGUCUUGGUCACUCAUGGGAGCUAAAGGGUUAAUAAACAGCCUGUGAAAUUAUCACAGGUAACAACUUAGGGCAUCAACUGAUGCUUUCAAUGGUGCAAUGAAAGUAAUACUAAUUAAGAAAACCUGUAUGUCCAAGGUUCCAUUGGUCUACCAUGUGGAAGUAUGACAUUUGACCUUCUUAUAAACAGUGCACCCUUAUCUGAACUUCAAAUGUAAUUCAGUGCAGCAGAGAGUUAAUUCAGUGCAGAAGAGGGUUAACUCAGUGCAAAGAAAGAAACAAAUCAGACAUUCUGAUUGGUCAAUAAUCAAAGAAACUCACAGAUAGCCAAUCAAAUGCGAGCCUUGGAUGUCGCAACAAAAUUUGAAAAU